UUUUUCUUUUUCUUUUUUUUUUCUUUUUCCUCCCAUUUUUCCUCGCCCUGUCCUUUACAUCUGAAAGGAGAUCAGUUCAAGAGUGACCAGGUGGGACGCCUCCUUUUCCUUAUUUAGUUUAUUAUUGUUUGGGGGAGUUUUCUUUCUAUCUUUUUUUAAUUCCUGUCCGGGGAGUUUUGUCCACCGCCUCCUACCACCUCCCCCUGUACCCCGCUCCUCCGCGCGGAGGAUGGUGUGGAAAUGGCUGGGCGCGCUGGUAGUGUUCCCUCUGCAAAUGAUCUAUUUGGUAACCAAAGCAGCCGUGGGAAUGGUGUUGCCCCCCAAGCUUCGGGACUUGUCGCGGGAGUCAGUCCUCAUCACCGGCGGUGGGAGAGGCAUCGGACGCCACCUCGCUCGGGAGUUCGCAGAGCGUGGCGCCAGAAAGGUACACGGCGUGGGGGCGGGGUGGCACUGCGACACCUGGAGUGGGCGCUGAGGGUAAAGGGACUCUGGCACGCAGGGAGGGGGAGGCAGUCGUGGGGGGUGUUCCCACCUGCUGCGGGUGCGGAAACCAGCGCCAACGAUCUGAAAGUCUCAAGCCACCCACUCCUUGCAUCACCUGGGACUGCGAAGCAAGUCGGUUUCAUCCUUCAUAGAUUUCCCGGGCACCGGACUGUGUUUUGGCAGGCCCUGAGUUGCUUGGCUCCCCUGGGAUUGGUAUCUCGCUGGCUAUUUACCCCUACCAACUACCAUACCUAGAAUACCCACCCAUUUUGCCGCAUGACUCUUUCUCUAAGGUGUAGUGCCCUCUCUCUCUCUUUGCCCGCACCCUGCCAAGCGCAGGGUGUGCGCGCGCCCCUAGGUAGAGCUGGAAGCCAAACCCCCUGCUAGCUUGCGCUUGGUAUUUUGCUUGGCAACUCGCUGCCUAGUCCCAAACAAGCUGAGAGGUUGCAGCUAGGCAGGGACGUGAGAUAGGGUGCUCGGUUCAGAUUUGUAAAGGAGAGAGUUGACGUGGAUGGUCUAGUCCGGCUGAAAGACUGGGAGGCCCAGGUGUUUAAAAUUCUGAAAGAGGGGUGAGGGGGUAGCCAGCCGCUGAUAAAGAGAGCCCUUGUCCUCACCUUCAACCUUGAUUCCCACCCCCGCCCUCUUCAUCGGAGGGGAUCCUUCUCAGCUGGAUUGGAAGGUGGCACUGUGCCCCUCUGACCACUGCCUCUUAUUAUGUGGGUGACACCAGCUCCCCAUGCUCCAGGUUUUGGAGACGUGGUGUUGCAGAGUACUGGAGGGAGAGCCAGCUGUCACCCAACUUGCAACUGCAGACCCGGCUGACUCACUCAGUGGCAAGAGCAAUGGAGAGGGAUUUGAGGCCGGCAGGCCGGUCUGUCUCCAGCCGGCCCGCGAAGACGAAGAACAAACUAGGGAAUUAGUUUGAAAUUUAAACUGUUGCUAAGGAGGGGGGGUGGGAGGACCAGGCUAGCCAGCUGAUCUGACAUGGAGCCGCAUACCUUGGGGAUUAGAGUAAAUAUGCUCUGUGGAAAGCCAAACCUUCAUGUAAUUCCAGGUUGCUUUUGUUUUGUUAAAUACUGCCCUGAGAUUUACAAUUCCUUCGGUGGCUGAGACUGAACUUUGGAGUCUGAACUAUCAUCCAAAACUGAUUGCCCAUUAACUCUUCCCUGGCCAAGCUGUUCUAGCAUGAACAGCUGGGGCCUGGGGUCCUCCAGCUGUCCAGGGCUCCUGAAUCUCCUUGGGUGGUUUGGACAGCUGUUUAACCUUGCCUUUGGAAGGGGAGUUCAGAAGUGUUUUUAACCCUUGGAGUUGCUGAAUUAAAAGGAAAUAUGGG
RNAcentral lists this long non-coding RNA (1816 nucleotides) under Mus musculus (house mouse). Its description in RNAcentral is "long non-coding RNA chr4:144893285-144895101". Lineage: Eukaryota; Metazoa; Chordata; Mammalia; Rodentia; Muridae. The record is from RNAcentral.